GUUGCGUCACGGGUCGAUUUAAUCACGACUUAUGAGUGACAAUAUACUCGAUGUCGAAGGCAUUGUAACCCAACAAGUGGGGAGUUUGAUUUGGUUGGGACAAAUCAAACGAUCUGCGGUAGCAGCAACAAGGGUGUGGUGUGGAUACAAGUCGAGCCAUGCCAGCAUGUUGUUGUUACUUUCGUCCGUUUCUUCGAUUCGUCGAUUGUUGGGGUGAUGUCUAGUUGUUCGUGGAUCUUAGUUUAACUUUGAUCUUAGUUUUACGCUUAAUUGGUAUCUUCAUGAAGCGUGCACUGUCGGUCCGAUUGUAUGGCAUGCUGUUGUUCGAUUGUUGCCUUACGAUCGGAUUGUUGGUGUUAUCGAUGGCAUGAUUUGGCUUGUUAAUCGUGGAUGACAAUUUGACGUUGUUUCAUCAGUUGAUGAAUUUUGUUGAAUGGUGAUGCAAGGGUGGUUUGGUUUGCUGCGUUGUUGGUGAUGACAUUCGUCAUGAGGUGAUGCGGUGUCAUGUUGCCUGUGUAUCCUGGUUUUGAGCAAUUGAGCUUAAAACAUGUGGAUUAUCGGUUAGUGACACGGCAUCGCUCCCUUGGUUGAUGAAAGUCGUCCAAUGAUGCGGCGGUUUGUUUGUUUUCUUCUCGCAUCGCUCGGUGCAUUCUGGGGUCAUUUUGGCUGUUGGCAGCUUGCUUGGCAAUUAUGCUUGGUGGGUUGCUACUGGUUGAGUGUCUUCGGGGAUGUCUACCGUAAAGGUGCAUGAGUGGUGUUUGGUUUGUUACGGGUGGUUGGCUCUUUGCUUGCGCAACAACUUCUACCCGGCAUACCUCUUCAGUUUUGUGUCAACGCUUGUAUAGCAUUGAAUGCACGGCGGGUUUCUUGUGUUGCAUGCCUAAUUAAUGGUAUCGUUUGAUGAAUCGGUUUUCCUUUCGUCUUGUGUCGCCUAUGCGAUGUGAGAUGAACCUUGAAGCAGCCUUUGUGAUCCACUCUUUCGAUGCAUACACAUUGAUUUUGUGGCCCAUUGAGUGUUGCUUGGUCUCAUGGAUAUAGAAUCUGGUGUGGGCAUGGAAUCUUAAUGGUUCCUUGUUUGCCCAAGUUUAGCUUUUCUAAAACGAUUGUCU
This 1109-nucleotide unclassified non-coding RNA is filed under the name Helichrysum ephelos. Its description in RNAcentral is "contains 5' external transcribed spacer, ETS". The record is from RNAcentral. Lineage: Eukaryota; Viridiplantae; Streptophyta; Magnoliopsida; Asterales; Asteraceae.